Non-coding RNA from Peromyscus maniculatus bairdii (prairie deer mouse), 592 nucleotides. Lineage: Eukaryota; Metazoa; Chordata; Mammalia; Rodentia; Cricetidae. The record is from RefSeq and is a predicted model, not a curated record.
GUCCCGUUUUUGAAAUAUUAGCUUCAGAAAGUGCCUCUAUGAUGAAAAGCUCUGAACUUGAAAAGGAGCUUGUUCAAGCACCACCAAGCGCUGGAAUGAUAAGGAAGUGAGCAGCUUUGCUCAGCCAUGUCCAUUUCACCAAGAUAUGUGCCUCACCUCAGACUUAGAGAAACAGGACCAAGGAACCAUGUAUGCAAAUCUCUGAAAAUACCAUCCAAGGCUACUUCGUCAUUUCAAAACAAACUGCCCACGUAUUUACCGUGUUUGUCACCAAGAAUUAAGAUUUGAUCACAUUUGUGAAGCUAUGAAGGAUUGAAUCUCGAACAUUUCUUUACUGUGUUUAUUAAAGGAGUUACCGAGAACAAAUAUGAAGAGGAAGAGAAGGUAGAACAUGACAAGACUCUCUUAAAGUGGGCAAAUUUCUUCAUACCAUAGUCUACAAAUAUGAGAGAAAUCAGCCUUUUGCAGGAUGAUGCUGUGUUUGGAAAAUGUGUUUCCAUAGCCCCUACAAGAGAUUGCAUCUUGCUUAAGGGAGUAGAAGGCAUCAUAACCUGUUUCUUUGAAGAGCAAAUCAAAUAAGAAGCCUUUUCAA